This is a long non-coding RNA of Homo sapiens (human), 847 nucleotides long. RefSeq lists it as uncharacterized. NCBI's taxonomy places the organism in Eukaryota, Metazoa, Chordata, Mammalia, Primates, Hominidae. The transcript has 4 exons. The record is from RefSeq and is a predicted model, not a curated record.
CUGGGAUUACAGAGGUGAGGGUCUCACUACAUUGUCCAGCCUAGUCUUGAACUCCUGGCCUCAAGAACCGUCUCACCUUGGACUCCUAAAACUGCUGGGAUUACAGAUGAAGAGGCUCUCCAUUCCACAUUCCCCACUGAUUUGAAGAGAUUCUCCAUGUUGGUCAGGCUGGUCUCGAACUCCUGACCUCAGGUGAUCCACCUGCCUCGGCCUCCCAAAGUGCUGGGAUUACAGACGUGAGCCACCGUGCCAGGCCCAUAUCCCCCUCCUGAUAAGACCCUCAGCUGCCAAUUUCUUGGAUUCUGUCUUUGAAUAAUGUAACUUGACUGUCCAACUUAAAAGCAAGAGAAGUUCAAGGAUGAGCAGGUAUGUGACCUAGUUCAACCAGCGCCAGCCAAGAAAUUGCCAGAUGCUUCAGAAGGAGGUGCUGGUCCUCACUCUUGGCCCUCUCGCUUAUUUCCUUCUGGCCAGCACUGAAUCUAUGGAGGCAAAAACCCUUGCAGAAGAAAGAGAAGCUGGAGGGAAACUGAUUGCCUCAAAGCCCAUUGCUUCCCAGAGCACAAGCCAGGGACCACCAGCCUCAGAGUCUCCAGGAGUUUGUUCAACUCAUUGAUUCCUGGAGCCCAUUCCAGACCUACUGAGUCAGAAUCUCUGGGAGUGGUAUCGUGGGAUCCAAAUUUUUAGCAAUAUUGAUUUUAACAAUAUGUAAUGCACCCUGAAGUUUGAGAACAUGUACUUUUUCUUACAGGUGAUUUUAUGUAGAGAAUUCAACUGACAAGAAGGUCCCUCGUGCCCUUAACCUUGUCCCCACCCCUUUGGGGCCCUCAGUGCUUUACUUACCAGUCCU